RNAcentral lists this non-coding RNA (82 nucleotides) under Comamonas sp. BIGb0124. The record is from RNAcentral. Lineage: Bacteria; Pseudomonadati; Pseudomonadota; Betaproteobacteria; Burkholderiales; Comamonadaceae.
CUUUACGGUGGCUCGGGCGGGGAGGUCGCAAGACCUGCCGGUGCUCCAUCGGUCCGCCAACCUCGUUCGGGCUGCCACCUUC